ACGGCGGAUUCCGAAAAGCCGGAUAGUGGAGAGAGUAGGAA
The submitters of this non-coding RNA (41 nucleotides) gave its source as unclassified sequences. The record is from Rfam.